AGGGUGAUCGGCCACACUGGGACUGAGAUACGGCCCAGACUCCUACGGGAGGCAGCAGUAGGGAAUAUUGCGCAAUGGACGAAAGUCUGACGCAGCAACGCCGCGUGGGUGAUGAAGCAUCUUGGUGUGUAAAACCCUGUCAGAGGGGAAGAAACGUGCGGGGAGUAACUGCCCUGCACCUGACGGUACCCUCAGAGGAAGUCCCGGCUAACUCCGUGCCAGCAGCCGCGGUAAUACGGGGGGGACAAGCGUUGUUCGGAUUUACUGGGUGUAAAGGGCGCGUAGGCGGACCUUCAAGUCGGGUGUGAAAACUGUCAGCUUAACUGGCAGCCUGCAUUCGAUACUGUUGGUCUUGAGUACAGGAGAGGAAAGUGGAAUUCCAGGUGUAGCGGUGAAAUGCGUAGAUAUCUGGAAGAACACCAGUAGCGAAGGCGGCUUUCUGGACUGAUACUGACGCUAAAGCGCGAAGGCUUGGGGAGCAAACAGGAUUAGAUACCCUGGUAGUCCAAGCGGUAAACGAUGGGUACUAGGUGUCGGGGGUCUCGGCCCCCUCGGUGCCGCAGCUAACGCACUAAGUACCCCGCCUGGGGAGUACGGUCGCAAGAUUGAAACUCAAAGGAAUUGACGGGGGCCCGCACAAGCGGUGGAGUAUGUGGUUUAAUUCGACCAACGCGCAGAACCUUACCUGGGUUUGACAUGUUUAGGACAACCGGUGAAAGCCGGUCUUCCCUUCGGGGACCUUUGCACAGGUGCUGCAUGGCUGUCGUCAGCUCGUGCCGUGAGGUGUUGGGUUAAGUCCCGCAACGAGCGCAACCCCCGUCCAUAGUUGCCAUCAGGUAAUGCUGGGGACUCUAUGGAGACUGCCGGUGACAAGCCGGAGGAAGGUGGGGAUGACGUCAAGUCCUCAUGGCCCUUACACCCAGGGCUACACACGUACUACAAUGGCCGGUACAGUAGGUUGCAAGACCGCAAGGUGGAGCUAAUCCCCAAAACCGGCCUCAGUUCAGAUUGGAGUCUGCAACUCGACUCCAUGAAGGCGGAAUCGCUAGUAAUCGCUGAUCAGCAAGCAGCGGUGAAUACGUUCCCGGGCCUUGUACACACCGCCCGUCAAGCCACGGAAGUUGGGAGCACCCGAAGUCGCUUACCUAACCGCAAGGAAGGUGGCGCCUAAGGUGAUACCGACGACUGGGGCUAAGUCGUAACAAGGUA
This 1209-nucleotide ribosomal RNA is filed under the name metagenome. Its description in RNAcentral is "bacterial SSU rRNA". It matches the Rfam family "Bacterial small subunit ribosomal RNA", at positions 297 to 1498 of the family's 1533-position model. The record is from RNAcentral.